GACGAACGCUGGCGGCGUGCUUAACACAUGCAAGUCGAACGGAAAGGCCCUGCAUUUGUGGGGUGCUCGAGUGGCGAACGGGUGAGUAACACGUGAGUAGCCUGCCCUUGACUUUGGGAUAACUUCAGGAAAAUGGGGCUAAUACCGGAUAGGAGCUCCUGAUGCAUGGUGGGGGUUGGAAAGUUUCGGCGGUUGGGGAUGGACUCGCGGCUUAUCAGCUUGUUGGUGGGGUAGUGGCUUACCCAGGCUUUGACGGGUAGCCGGCCUGAGAGGGUGACCGGCCACAUUGGGACUGAGAGACGGCCCAGACUCCUACGGGAGGCAGCAGUGGGGAACAUGGCGCAAUGGGCGGAAGCGUGAUGCAGCAACGCCGCGGGCGGGAAGACGGCCUACGGGUUGGAAACCGCUUUCGCCUGUGACGAAGCGUGAGUGACGGUAAUGGGUAAAGAAGCACCGGCUAACUACGUG
Molecule: ribosomal RNA, 468 nt
Filed under: uncultured bacterium
Lineage: Bacteria
Description: partial 16S ribosomal RNA
Rfam family: Bacterial small subunit ribosomal RNA
Source: RNAcentral